CAGCCGCCGCGGGAAUACAGAGGGUGCGAGCGUUAAUCGGAUUUACUGGGCGUAAAGCGUGCGUAGGCGGCUUCUUAAGUCGGAUGUGAAAUCCCUGAGCUUAACUUAGGAAUUGCAUUCGAUACUGGGAAGCUAGAGUAUGGGAGAGGAUGGUAGAAUUCCAGGUGUAGCGGUGAAAUGCGUAGAGAUCUGGAGGAAUACCGAUGGCGAAGGCAGCCAUCUGGCCUAAUACUGACGCUGAGGUACGAAAGCAUGGGAAGCAAACAGGAUUAGAUACCCCCGUAGUCCCUGUCUCUUAUAC
Molecule: ribosomal RNA, 301 nt
Filed under: uncultured bacterium
Lineage: Bacteria
Description: partial 16S ribosomal RNA
Rfam family: Bacterial small subunit ribosomal RNA
Source: RNAcentral